Molecule: ribosomal RNA, 2902 nt
Filed under: Streptococcus pneumoniae
Lineage: Bacteria; Bacillati; Bacillota; Bacilli; Lactobacillales; Streptococcaceae
Description: 23S ribosomal RNA
Rfam family: Bacterial large subunit ribosomal RNA
Source: RNAcentral
GGUUAAGUUAAUAAGGGCGCACGGUGGAUGCCUUGGCACUAGGAGCCGACGAAGGACGUGACAAACGACGAUAUGCCUUGGGUAGCUGUAAGUAAGCGAUGAUCCAGGGAUUUCCGAAUGGGGGAACCCAACAGGUAAUACCUGUUACCUACAUCUGUUAAGGAUGUGAGGAGGAAGACGCAGUGAACUGAAACAUCUAAGUAGCUGCAGGAAGAGAAAGCAAAAGCGAUUGCCUUAGUAGCGGCGAGCGAAACGGCAGAAGGGCAAACCGAAGAGUUUACUCUUCGGGGUUGUAGGACUGCAAUGUGGACUCAAAGAUUAUAGAAGAAUGAUUUGGGAAGAUCAGCCAAAGAGAGUAAUAGCCUCGUAUUUAAAAUAGUCUUUGUACUUAGCAGUAUCCUGAGUACGGCGGGACACGUGAAAUCCCGUCGGAAUCUGGGAGGACCAUCUCCCAACCCUAAAUACUCCCUAGUGACCGAUAGUGAACCAGUACCGUGAGGGAAAGGUGAAAAGCACCCCGUGAGGGGAGUGAAAUAGAACCUGAAACCGUGUGCCUACAACAAGUUCGAGCCCGUUAAUGGGUGAGAGCGUGCCUUUUGUAGAAUGAACCGGCGAGUUACGUUAUGAUGCGAGGUUAAGUUGAAGAGACGGAGCCGUAGGGAAACCGAGUCUGAAUAGGGCGCCUUAGUAUCAUGACGUAGACCCGAAACCAUGUGACCUACCCAUGAGCAGGUUGAAGGUGCGGUAAGACGCACUGGAGGACCGAACCAGGGCACGUUGAAAAGUGCUUGGAUGACUUGUGGGUAGCGGAGAAAUUCCAAACGAACUUGGAGAUAGCUGGUUCUCUCCGAAAUAGCUUUAGGGCUAGCGUCGACAUUAGAGAUUCUUGGAGGUAGAGCACUGUUUGGGUGAGGGGUCCAUCCCGGAUUACCAAUCUCAGAUAAACUCCGAAUGCCAAUGAAUUAUGGUCGGCAGUCAGACUGCGAGUGCUAAGAUCCGUAGUCGAAAGGGAAACAGCCCAGACCACCAGCUAAGGUCCCAAAAUAAUUGUUAAGUGGAAAAGGAUGUGGGGUUGCACAGACAACUAGGAUGUUAGCUUAGAAGCAGCUAUUCAUUCAAAGAGUGCGUAAUAGCUCACUAGUCGAGUGACCCUGCGCCGAAAAUGUACCGGGGCUAAAACAAUUUACCGAAGCUGUGGAUACCUUUAUAGGUAUGGUAGGAGAGCGUUCUAUGUGUGAUGAAGGUAUACCGUGAGGAGUGCUGGAACGCAUAGAAGUGAGAAUGCCGGUAUGAGUAGCGAAAGACAGGUGAGAAUCCUGUCCACCGUAAGACUAAGGUUUCCAGGGGAAGGCUCGUCCGCCCUGGGUUAGUCGGGACCUAAGGAGAGACCGAAAGGUGUAUCCGAUGGACAACAGGUUGAUAUUCCUGUACUAGAGUAUGUAGUGAUGGAGGGACGCAGUAGGCUAACUAAAGCAGACGAUUGGAAGAGUCUGUCUAAGCAGUGAGGUGUGAAUUGAGUCAAAUGCUUAAUUCUAUAACAUUGAGCUGUGAUGGGGAGCGAAGUUUAGUAGCGAAGUUAGUGACGUCACACUGCCAAGAAAAGCUUCUAGCGUUUAAACAUACUCUACCCGUACCGCAAACCGACACAGGUAGUCGAGGCGAGUAGCCUCAGGUGAGCGAGAGAACUCUCGUUAAGGAACUCGGCAAAAUGACCCCGUAACUUCGGGAGAAGGGGUGCUGACUUAAAGUCAGCCGCAGUGAAUAGGCCCAAGCAACUGUUUAUCAAAAACACAGCUCUCUGCUAAAUCGUAAGAUGAUGUAUAGGGGGUGACGCCUGCCCGGUGCUGGAAGGUUAAGAGGAGUGCUUAGCGUAAGCGAAGGUAUGAAUUGAAGCCCCAGUAAACGGCGGCCGUAACUAUAACGGUCCUAAGGUAGCGAAAUUCCUUGUCGGGUAAGUUCCGACCCGCACGAAAGGCGUAAUGAUUUGGGCACUGUCUCAACGAGAGACUCGGUGAAAUUUUAGUACCUGUGAAGAUGCAGGUUACCCGCGACAGGACGGAAAGACCCCAUGGAGCUUUACUGCAGUUUGAUAUUGAGUGUCUGUACCACAUGUACAGGAUAGGUAGGAGUCUAAGAGAUCGGGACGCCAGUUUCGAAGGAGACGCUGUUGGGAUACUACCCUUGUGUUAUGGCCACUCUAACCCAGAUAGGUGAUCCCUAUCGGAGACAGUGUCUGACGGGCAGUUUGACUGGGGCGGUCGCCUCCUAAAAGGUAACGGAGGCGCCCAAAGGUUCCCUCAGAAUGGUUGGAAAUCAUUCGCAGAGUGUAAAGGUAUAAGGGAGCUUGACUGCGAGAGCUACAACUCGAGCAGGGACGAAAGUCGGGCUUAGUGAUCCGGUGGUUCCGUAUGGAAGGGCCAUCGCUCAACGGAUAAAAGCUACCCUGGGGAUAACAGGCUUAUCUCCCCCAAGAGUUCACAUCGACGGGGAGGUUUGGCACCUCGAUGUCGGCUCGUCGCAUCCUGGGGCUGUAGUCGGUCCCAAGGGUUGGGCUGUUCGCCCAUUAAAGCGGCACGCGAGCUGGGUUCAGAACGUCGUGAGACAGUUCGGUCCCUAUCCGUCGCGGGCGUAGGAAAUUUGAGAGGAUCUGCUCCUAGUACGAGAGGACCAGAGUGGACUUACCGCUGGUGUACCAGUUGUCUUGCCAAAGGCAUCGCUGGGUAGCUAUGUAGGGAAGGGAUAAACGCUGAAAGCAUCUAAGUGUGAAACCCACCUCAAGAUGAGAUUUCCCAUGAUUAUAUAUCAGUAAGAGCCCUGAGAGAUGAUCAGGUAGAUAGGUUAGAAGUGGAAGUGUGGCGACACAUGUAGCGGACUAAUACUAAUAGCUCGAGGACUUAUCCAA